Molecule: ribosomal RNA, 497 nt
Filed under: uncultured bacterium
Lineage: Bacteria
Description: partial 16S ribosomal RNA
Rfam family: Bacterial small subunit ribosomal RNA
Source: RNAcentral
GAUGAACGCUGGCGGCGUGCCUAAUACAUGCAAGUCGAGCGAACGGACGAGAAGCUUGCUUCUCUGAUGUUAGCGGCGGACGGGUGAGUAACACGUGGAUAACCUACCUAUAAGACUGGGAUAACUUCGGGAAACCGGAGCUAAUACCGGAUAAUAUUUUGAACCGCAUGGUUCAAAAGUGAAAGACGGUCUUGCUGUCACUUAUAGAUGGAUCCGCGCUUCAUUAGAUAGUUGGUAAGGUAACGGCUUACCAAGGCAACGAUGCAUAGCCGACCUGAGAGGGUGAUAGGCCACACUGGAACUGAGACACGGUCCAGACUCCUACGGGAGGCAGCAGUAGGGAAUCUUCCGCAAUGGGCGAAAGCCUGACGGAGCAACGCCGCGUGAGUGAUGAAGGUCUUCGGAUCGUAAAACUCUGUUAUUAGGGAAGAACAUAUGUGUAAGUAACUGUGCACAUCUUGACGGUACCUAAUCAGAAAGCCACGGCUAACUACGUG